Molecule: ribosomal RNA, 52 nt
Filed under: Fukomys damarensis (Damara mole-rat)
Lineage: Eukaryota; Metazoa; Chordata; Mammalia; Rodentia; Bathyergidae
Source: RNAcentral
CUACCCUGAAAGCGGCUAAUAUUGUCUGAUCUCAGAAGCUAAGCAGGGAUAG